Non-coding RNA from Thamnophis sirtalis, 255 nucleotides. NCBI's taxonomy places the organism in Eukaryota, Metazoa, Chordata, Lepidosauria, Squamata, Natricidae. The record is from RefSeq and is a predicted model, not a curated record.
GGGGGCGUCGUGGGUGGGUGGGGGCUGUUUUUGAGAGCGGGGAGUUGGAUUGUUGAGGGAGGCGAAAUUAAGAUGGCGGCGGAGGCGGUGGAGCUGCACAAGUUGAAGCUUGCAGAGUUGAAACAGGAGUGUUUAGCCCGAGGACUGGAGGCAAAAGGAAACAAACAAGAUCUCAUCAACAGACUCCAGACAUAUCUAGAGCAGCAUGCUGAGGAAGAGGCCAAUGAAGAAGAUGUUUUGGGAGAAGAAACAGAG